GCUGGCGGCGCGCCUAACACAUGCAGUCGAACGGAAUGCGGAGAGGAUUUAUCUUUUCUGUGUUUAGUGGCGAACGGGUGAGUAACGCGUGAGGAACCUGCCUCAAAGAGGGGGACAACAGUUGGAAACGACUGCUAAUACCGCAUAAGCCCACGGGGCCGCAUGGCCCAGAGGGAAAAGGAGCAAUCCGCUUUGAGAUGGCCUCGCGUCCGAUUAGCUGGUUGGUGAGGUAACGGCCCACCAAGGCGACGAUCGGUAGCCGGACUGAGAGGUUGAACGGCCACAUUGGGACUGAGACACGGCCCAGACUCCUACGGGAGGCAGCAGUGGGGAAUAUUGCACAAUGGGGGAAACCCUGAUGCAGCGACGCCGCGUGGAGGAAGAAGGUCUUCGGAUUGUAAACUCCUGUUGUUGGGGAAAAGAAGGAUGGUACCCAACAAGGAAGUGACGGCUAACUACGUGCCAGCAGCCGCGGUAAAACGUAGGUCACGAGCGUUGUCCGGAAUUACUGGGUGUAAAGGGAGCGCAGGCGGGUAUGCAAGUUGGGAGUGAAAUACAUGGGCUCAACCCAUGAACUGCUCUCAAAACUGUGUAUCUUGAGUAGUGCAGAGGUAGGCGGAAUUCCCGGUGUAGCGGUGGAAUGCGUAGAUAUCGGGAGGAACACCAGUGGCGAAGGCGGCCUACUGGGCACCAACUGACGCUGAGGCUCGAAAGUGUGGGUAGCAAACAGGAUUAGAUACCCUGGUAGUCCACACCGUAAACGAUGAUCACUAGGUGUUGGAGGAUAGACCCCUUCAGUGCCGCAGUUAACACAAUAAGUGAUCCACCUGGGGAGUACGACCGCAAGGUUGAAACUCAAAGGAAUUGACGGGGGCCCGCACAAGCAGUGNAGUAUGUGGUUUAAUUCGACGCAACGCGAAGAACCUUACCAAGUCUUGACAUCCUCUGGCGGUACAGAAAUGUGCUUUUCCUUCGGGACAGAGAGACAGGUGGUGCAUGGGUUGUCGUCAGCUCGUGUCG
RNAcentral lists this ribosomal RNA (1020 nucleotides) under uncultured bacterium. RNAcentral describes it as "bacterial SSU rRNA". It matches the Rfam family "Bacterial small subunit ribosomal RNA", at positions 35 to 1067 of the family's 1533-position model. The record is from RNAcentral.